Molecule: small nucleolar RNA, 107 nt
Organism: Dioscorea cayenensis subsp. rotundata (Guinea yam)
Lineage: Eukaryota; Viridiplantae; Streptophyta; Magnoliopsida; Dioscoreales; Dioscoreaceae
Source: RefSeq, a predicted model, not a curated record
AGGUUAUGAUGUGGGAACCUCCUUAAGAGGCCAUUGAACCUCUCCCAUGUUUCAAACAAUGAUUCGGUAUCCAUUUGAGUAAAUGAAGUGAUCUCUUGCCUAAGUUC